UGAGGAAUAUUGGUCAAUGGGCGAGAGCCUGAACCAGCCAAGUAGCGUGAAGGAUGAAGGUCCUACGGAUUGUAAACUUCUUUUAUAAGGGAAUAAAACGCUCCACGUGUGGAGCCUUGUAUGUACCUUAUGAAUAAGCAUCGGCUAACUCCGUGCCAGCAGCCGCGGUAAUACGGAGGAUGCGAGCGUUAUCCGGAUUUAUUGGGUUUAAAGGGAGCGCAGACGGGAUGUUAAGUCAGCUGUGAAAGUUUGCGGCUCAACCGUAAAAUUGCAGUUGAUACUGGCGUUCUUGAGUGCAGUUGAGGUGUGCGGAAUUCGUGGUGUAGCGGUGAAAUGCUUAGAUAUCACGAAGAACUCCGAUUGCGAAGGCAGCUCACUAAACUGUAACUGACGUUCAUGCUCGAAAGUGUGGGUAUCAAACAGG
RNAcentral lists this ribosomal RNA (424 nucleotides) under uncultured Bacteroides sp. RNAcentral's name for it is "bacterial SSU rRNA". It matches the Rfam family "Bacterial small subunit ribosomal RNA", at positions 355 to 776 of the family's 1533-position model. Lineage: Bacteria; Pseudomonadati; Bacteroidota; Bacteroidia; Bacteroidales; Bacteroidaceae. The record is from RNAcentral.